AUGAAUUUGAUUGUUUGAAUUGGUGGAAGAAUAGCAAGCUCACAUUCCCAAUUUUAUCCAAGAUGGCAGCCGAUAUCCUUGCCAUUCCUAUUACUACAGUUGCUUCUGAGGCUACAUUUAGCGCUGGAACAAGAGUAAUUGACUCUUAUAGAGCCUCACUAGCUCCUGAAACUGUAGAAAUGCUUAUGUGUGCCGGAGAUUGGUGCCGAAACAUUCAUGGAGUGAAAAAAAAGAUAAAAAAAUUGAAGGCAGCAAAAGAGAUUCUACUUCCCAUAAAAUGAAUGUGAUAAUUGGAAAGGGCCUGCAGUUGAAAUUGGAAAGUUGGAAAGGAUUAUUGUGGAAUGGACAAGAAGUUGUUGUUUUACUGCUUUAAUUGUAAAAUUUGUUUCACUUUUUUAAGUAUGGUUAUUUCUUGACAAUUGACAUUGCCUGUUGAAGACAUUCACUUGAAUGUUGAGUUGUUGACACUUUGUCUUUGUUGUUUCUA
Long non-coding RNA from Coffea arabica (coffee), 487 nucleotides. RefSeq lists it as uncharacterized. The record is from RefSeq and is a predicted model, not a curated record. NCBI's taxonomy places the organism in Eukaryota, Viridiplantae, Streptophyta, Magnoliopsida, Gentianales, Rubiaceae.